Molecule: long non-coding RNA, 404 nt
Organism: Egretta garzetta (little egret)
Lineage: Eukaryota; Metazoa; Chordata; Aves; Pelecaniformes; Ardeidae
Exons: 3
Source: RefSeq, a predicted model, not a curated record
CGCAGAGCUGCAGCACCCUCGACGCCUUCGCACCCGGAGCCUCGUGCCACCCAAGAGAGCAGAGGGAGCAGCGGGGCUUAACCACUGCCCCCCACCCAGCAAAAUCAGCUGGAGGUUUAGGAGGCACAAAGCACCGGAUCCCGCCAGCUGGGUCACCAAAUCCUACCACCGAGGGGGCUGCGGAGCAGCUGGCCUCCCCCAGCCCCUCCUGCCCCAACAGGGGAGGCUUUCCCAAGCACUGCGACACCCCGGGAGCUGGGAAGAGACCCUGAGCGUGGCAGCUGUGGGAUUUUUGGUGCAAAGCAGGGCUUUGGAGACUUAGCUUGCUCAGGGAGACCAGCCCCAGCUUGGCUCCGAGCUGGCAUCAGCCUUGUCUGCAAACCCACUGCUACCAGGAGCCCUGG